GAUAAACGCUGGCGGCGUGCCUAAUACAUGCAAGUCGAGCGAACGGACGAGAAGCUUGCUUCUCUGAUGUUAGCGGCGGACGGGUGAGUAGCACGUGGAUAACCUACCUAUAAGACUGGGAUAACUUCGGGAAACCGGAGCUAAUACCGGAUAAUAUUUUGAACCGCAUGGUUCAAAAGUGAAAGACGGUCUUGCUGUCACUUAUAGAUGGAUCCGCGCUGCAUUAGCUAGUUGGUAAGGUAACGGCUUACCAAGGCAACGAUGCAUAGCCGACCUGAGAGGGUGAUCGGCCACACUGGAACUGAGACACGGUCCAGACUCCUACGGGAGGCAGCAGUAGGGAAUCUUCCGCAAUGGGCGAAAGCCUGACGGAGCAACGCCGCGUGAGUGAUGAAGGUCUUCGGAUCGUAAAACUCUGUUAUUAGGGAAGAACAUAUGUGUAAGUAACUGUGCACAUCUUGACGGUACCUAAUCAGAAAGCCACGGCUAACUACGUGCCAGCAGCCGCGGUAAUACGUAGGUGGCAAGCGUUAUCCGGAAUUAUUGGGCGUAAAGCGCGCGUAGGCGGUUUUUUAAGUCUGAUGUGAAAGCCCACGGCUCAACCGUGGAGGGUCAUUGGAAACUGGAAAACUUGAGUGCAGAAGAGGAAAGUGGAAUUCCAUGUGUAGCGGUGAAAUGCGCAGAGAUAUGGAGGAACACCAGUGGCGAAGGCGACUUUCUGGUCUGUAACUGACGCUGAUGUGCGAAAGCGUGGGGAUCAAACAGGAUUAGAUACCCUGGUAGUCCACGCCGUAAACGAUGAGUGCUAAGUGUUAGGGGGUUUCCGCCCCUUAGUGCUGCAGCUAACGCAUUAAGCACUCCGCCUGGGGAGUACGACCGCAAGGUUGAAACUCAAAGGAAUUGACGGGGACCCGCACAAGCGGUGGAGCAUGUGGUUUAAUUCGAAGCAACGCGAAGAACCUUACCAAAUCUUGACAUCCUUUGACAACUCUAGAGAUAGAGCCUUCCCCUUCGGGGGACAAAGUGACAGGUGGUGCAUGGUUGUCGUCAGCUCGUGUCGUGAGAUGUUGGGUUAAGUCCCGCAACGAGCGCAACCCUUAAGCUUAGUUGCCAUCAUUAAGUUGGGCACUCUAAGUUGACUGCCGGUGACAAACCGGAGGAAGGUGGGGAUGACGUCAAAUCAUCAUGCCCCUUAUGAUUUGGGCUACACACGUGCUACAAUGGACAAUACAAAGGGCAGCGAAACCGCGAGGUCAAGCAAAUCCCAUAAAGUUGUUCUCAGUUCGGAUUGUAGUCUGCAACUCGACUACAUGAAGCUGGAAUCGCUAGUAAUCGUAGAUCAGCAUGCUACGGUGAAUACGUUCCCGGGUCU
Molecule: ribosomal RNA, 1372 nt
Filed under: uncultured bacterium
Lineage: Bacteria
Description: bacterial SSU rRNA
Rfam family: Bacterial small subunit ribosomal RNA
Source: RNAcentral